Phaseolus vulgaris (common bean) is the source of this 118-nucleotide non-coding RNA. NCBI's taxonomy places the organism in Eukaryota, Viridiplantae, Streptophyta, Magnoliopsida, Fabales, Fabaceae. The record is from Rfam.
AGGUGCGAUCAUACCAGCACUAAUGCACCGGAUCCCACCAGAACUCCGCAAUGAAGCGUGCUUGGCGAGAGUAGCACUAGGAUGGGUGACCUCCUGGGAAGUUCUCCUGUUGCACUUC